UUCAGCAAGUGCCCCCUUAAGCACGCUCACCCCUGAUCCUCCUAGCCAGCUGGAUAUCCUUGGGCAUGAUGGUGACACGUUUGGCAUGGAUGGCACAAAGGUUGGUGUCUUCGAACAGCCCAACAAGGUAUGCCUCCGCUGCCUCUUGCAGUGCCAAGACAGCAUGGCUUUGGAAACGCAGAUCAGUCUGCACACCAAAAAAAUAGAAAAUGCACUACCAUUAGCAUCCAAACACCAAAUCCACAUCCAUAAACACUAUCAAGAUAAUAACUACCGAAUCAAUAAAUCAU
Molecule: long non-coding RNA, 290 nt
Filed under: Populus tremula
Lineage: Eukaryota; Viridiplantae; Streptophyta; Magnoliopsida; Malpighiales; Salicaceae
Description: long non-coding RNA (PTRE_LNC002404)
Source: RNAcentral